Molecule: ribosomal RNA, 1437 nt
Filed under: metagenome
Description: bacterial LSU rRNA
Rfam family: Bacterial large subunit ribosomal RNA
Source: RNAcentral
CUGUAGUGACACGGAAGGUAAGACAGAGCCGGGAAUGAGAAAACCGGUGCAAGCACAAUAGAUGUGUGGGAGGAAAAUCCCCCGCAUAAGUCAAAGGUGUGAUGCGGACCGAAAAAGAGUAGGGAAGCUGUUAAGCAAGCCGUCAAGAAAAGCUGCUAUUGUUUCAUUAUGGCCCGUACCGUAAACCGACACAGGUGGAUGGGGAGAGGAUCCUAAGGCCGGCGGAAGAAGUAUUGUUAAGGAACUCGGCAAAAUGACCCCGUAACUUCGGGAGAAGGGGUGCCUGCGAGAGCAGGCCGCAGAGAAGAGGCCCAAGCAACUGUUUAGCAAAAACACAGGUCUAUGCGAAACCGAAAGGUGAGGUAUAUGGGCUGACGCCUGCCCGGUGCUGGAAGGUUAAGGGGAGUGGUCAGGAAACGAAGCCACGAGCUUAAGCCCCAGUAAACGGCGGCCGUAACGAUAACGGUCCUAAGGUAGCGAAAUUCCUUGUCGGGUAAGUUCCGACCCGCACGAAAGGCGUAAUGAUUUGGGCGCUGUCUCGACAAUACAUCCGGUGAAAUUGAAGUGCCAGUGAAGAUGCUGGCUACCUGCGCCAGGACGGAAAGACCCCAUGGAGCUUUACUCCAGCUUGAUACUGGGACCCGGUAUUGCAUGUACAGGGUAGGUGGGAGGCUAGGAAAUGUGGACGCCAGUCUGCAUGGAGCCGCUGUUGGGAUACCACCCUUGUGGUGCUGGGUUUCUAACCAGAGGCCGUGAACCGGUCUGGGGACAAUGUCAGGUGGGGAGUUUGACUGGGGCGGUCGCCUCCGAAAGGGUAUCGGAGGCGCCCAAAGGUUCCCUCAGAAUGGUUGGAAACCAUUCGAAGAGUGCAAAGGCAGAAGGGAGCUUGACUGCGACACCGACGGGUGGAGCAGGUACGAAAGUAGGGCUUAGUGAUCCGGUGGAAUUUAAGUGGGAAUGCCAUCGCUCAACGGAUAAAAGCUACCCUGGGGAUAACAGGCUGAUCACUCCCAAGAGUUCACAUCGACGGAGUGGUUUGGCACCUCGAUGUCGGCUCAUCGCAUCCUGGGGCUGAAGUCGGUCCCAAGGGUUGGGCUGUUCGCCCAUUAAAGCGGUACGCGAGCUGGGUACAGAACGUCGUGAGACAGUUCGGUCCCUAUCCGGCGUGGGCGUAGGAUAUCUGAGAGGAGCUGUCCUUAGUACGAGAGGACCGGGAUGGACUGACCUCUGGUGUACCGGUUGGCGAUCAACGCCACGGCCGGGUAGCCAUGUCGGGACGGGAUAAACGCUGAAGGCAUCUAAGCGUGAAGCCCCCCUCAAGAUGAGAUAUCCCAUCGUAAGAGUAAGACCCCUUGAAGACGACGAGGUUGAUAGGGCAGGGGUGGAAGUGCUGUAAGGCAUGGAGCUGACUGCUACUAAUCGGUCGAGGGCUUGACC